GUAACAACUCACCUGCCGAAUGAAUUAGCCCUGAAAAUGGAUGGCGCUGAAGCGGACGGCUUAUACAUCGCCAUCAGGGCAGGCUGUAGGCCCUGAUGAGUAGGAGGGCGUGGGGCUUGUAACGCAGGCCUGGGCGCGAGCCCGGCUGAAACAGGCUCUAGUGCAGAUCUUGGUGAUAGUAGCAAAUAUUCAAAUGAGAAAUUUUUAAGGGGGAAGGGGGG
RNAcentral lists this ribosomal RNA (221 nucleotides) under Pseudictyota dubia. RNAcentral describes it as "partial Eukaryotic large subunit ribosomal RNA". It matches the Rfam family "Eukaryotic large subunit ribosomal RNA", at positions 1282 to 1501 of the family's 3401-position model. Lineage: Eukaryota; Bacillariophyta; Thalassiosirophyceae; Eupodiscales; Odontellaceae. The record is from RNAcentral.